GAUGAACGCUGGCGGCGUGCCUAAUACAUGCAAGUCGAGCGAACGGACGAGAAGCUUGCGUCUCGGAUGUUAGCGGCGGACGGGUGAGUAACACGUGUAUAAUCUACCUAUAAGACUGGGAUAACUUCGGGAAACGGUAGCUAAUACCGGAGAAGAUUUUGAAGCGCGGGGGGGAAAAGUGAAAGACGGUCGUGCGGGCAGGUAUAGAUGGAUCCGCGCUGCAUUAGCUGGUUGGGAAGUUAACGGCUUACCAAGGCAACGAGGCAUAGCCGAGCUGAGAGGGUGAUCGGCCGCCCUGGAGCUGGGACACGCUCCUGACUCCUACGGUAGGCACCAGUCGCGAAUCUUCCGCAAUGGGCGAAAGCCUUGCGCAGCGGCGCCGCGUGAGUGAUGACGGUCUUCGGUUCGUAAAGCUCUGUUAUUAGGGAAGAACCUCUGUCUACGUAACUGUGCCCAUCUUGACGGUACCUGAUCAGAAAGCCCCGGCUAACUACGUG
RNAcentral lists this ribosomal RNA (497 nucleotides) under uncultured bacterium. RNAcentral describes it as "partial 16S ribosomal RNA". It matches the Rfam family "Bacterial small subunit ribosomal RNA", at positions 28 to 507 of the family's 1533-position model. The record is from RNAcentral.